This 496-nucleotide ribosomal RNA is filed under the name uncultured bacterium. RNAcentral's name for it is "partial 16S ribosomal RNA". It matches the Rfam family "Bacterial small subunit ribosomal RNA", at positions 29 to 507 of the family's 1533-position model. The record is from RNAcentral.
AACGAACGCUGGCGGCGCGUCUUAAGCAUGCAAGUCGAACGGCAAGAGAGGAGCUUGCUUCUCUCCUAGAGUGGCGGACUGGUGAGGAACACGUGGGUAAUCUACCCUUAAGAUGGGGAUAGCUGCUAGAAAUAGCAGGUAAUACCGAAUACACUCGGCAUAUCACAAGAGGUGUUGAGGAAAGGAAGCUACGGCUUCGCUUGAGGAUGAGCUUGCGUCCCAUUAGCUAGUUGGUGAGGUAAAGGCCCGCCAAGGCGACGAUGGGUAUCCGGCCUGAGAGGGUGAACGGACACAUUGGGACUGAGAUACGGCCCAAACUCCUACGGGAGGCAGCAGCUAAGAAUAUUCCGCAAUGGACGGAAGUCUGACGGAGCGACGCCGCGUGGAUGAAGAAGGCUGAAAAGUUGUAAAAUCCUUUUGUUGAUGAAGAAUAAGGGUGAGAGGGAAUGCUCAUCUGAUGACGGUAAUCGACGAAUAAGCCCCGGCUAAUUACGUG